RNAcentral lists this small RNA (723 nucleotides) under Drosophila yakuba. RNAcentral describes it as "GE27464". Lineage: Eukaryota; Metazoa; Arthropoda; Insecta; Diptera; Drosophilidae. The record is from RNAcentral.
GCUUGUUUUGCCCCACAAUUACUGCUGUAAUCUUAUAAGAGUAUUUUUAGCUGCAAACUCUUAAGAAAAAUACAGCCAAUCGCCUUGGCAACACACACUCUUGCAAGAGCGGAGACCCAGGCAAACCAGCUGGGAAUAAAUAAAGUCAAGGUGAGGACCUGCGACAAUCGCACACACACGAUCGCCAGUCGGAAUACCCAUUGCUCUGUCGACCCGCAUUAAUCACAUAUCGCUGGCUGAAAGGGUGAAUUGCUGGCGGUUGCUGAUGUGCGAGGUGUGGGGUUUUUGGGGGUCGGGGGUCCUCUGUGGGUGACGUUUUUAUAUUGUCCGAUGUCACCGCCACCCAUCUCGACCCCAAAGACCCACAACCAACCCCCCCACCUCCACCCCUUUGGACGACACCACCGGAAGCCGUAAAAUCGCACACGAGAGCUCCGGCAUAGGCCGCACAUGAAAAUUGCCACAGGCGGGAAAAGUGGGGGGAAAAAAAAUGGAAAAGCGAAAAGCGAGAACCGAAAACUGAAAACCGAAAAGGAGCGAAAAGGACGAAAACUCGGCCGCAAAUCCGACAUUGCAUUGCCACCAAUAUACCAGAGUCACCCAUCGCGGAAACAUCGCGGAAACAUCGCGGAAACAUCGCAGAAACCACCCAUUGCAAGCCGCAGAGGAAGAAUACACUUUGGGUGCACUUUUCUGUGACCAAAGCUGGUCCAAUUCUUGUGA